Molecule: ribosomal RNA, 223 nt
Filed under: uncultured Eubacteriales bacterium
Lineage: Bacteria; Bacillati; Bacillota; Clostridia; Eubacteriales
Description: uncultured Clostridiales bacterium partial 16S ribosomal RNA
Rfam family: Bacterial small subunit ribosomal RNA
Source: RNAcentral
UCAAGGUCGUGCGAAUUCUCUGGAGCUUGCUCCAGAGGAUAGCGGCGGACGGGUGAGUAACGCGUAGGCAACCUGCCCACAGGACCGGGACAACAGGACGAAAGCCCUGCUAAUACCGGAUAGGCACCAGGCUCCGCAUGGAGCUCGGUGGAAAGGGGUAACCCACCUGUGGAUGGGCCUGCGUCCCAUUAGCUUGUUGGUGAGGUAACGGCCCACCAAGGCU